RNAcentral lists this ribosomal RNA (465 nucleotides) under uncultured bacterium. RNAcentral's name for it is "partial 16S ribosomal RNA". It matches the Rfam family "Bacterial small subunit ribosomal RNA", at positions 339 to 795 of the family's 1533-position model. The record is from RNAcentral.
CUACGGGAUGCAGCAGUGGGGAAUAUUGGACAAUGGGGGAAACCCUGAUCCAGCAAUGCCGCGUGUGUGAAGAAGGCCUGCGGGUUGUAAAGCACUUUCGGUUGGGAGGACUGCUUCUAGCACUAAUAUUGUUGGAAGUUGACGUUACCUUCAGAAGAAGCACCGGCUAACUCCGUGCCAGCGGCCGCGGUAAUACGGAGGGUGCAAGCGUUAAUCGGAAUUACUGGGCGUAAAGCGCGCGUAGGCGGCUAGAUCAGUCGGGGGUGAAAGCCCCGGGCUUAACCUGGGAACUGCAUCCGAUACUGUCUAGCUCGAGUACAGGAGAGGAGAGUGGAAUUCCACAUGUAGCGGUGAAAUGCGUAGAUAUGUGGAGGAACACCAAUGGCGAAGGCAGCUCUCUGGCCUGAUACUGACGCUGAGGUGCGAAAGCGUGGGGAGCAAACAGGAUUAGAUACCCGCGUAGUC